Long non-coding RNA from Artibeus jamaicensis (Jamaican fruit-eating bat), 920 nucleotides. RefSeq lists it as uncharacterized. NCBI's taxonomy places the organism in Eukaryota, Metazoa, Chordata, Mammalia, Chiroptera, Phyllostomidae. The record is from RefSeq and is a predicted model, not a curated record. The transcript is spliced from 3 exons.
UUGAGUUUAGAGAGCAAGGAAGGGGGAAAGAGAGAAACAUCAGUUGGUUGCCUCCUGUACAUACCCUGACUGAAGAUCAAACCCACAACCUAGACCAAAUACCAAAAAAACUACUACAUUAUUUUUCUGGUUGCUUUUUCAAUAAUUCCUGAACAAAUCCACAUAACAUCCCUGCAGUCCAGUAGAAGAACCUCAUGAAAUGGACUCACCAAAAUCCUUUUCCGUUCUACUUGGAGAAUGUUUGAGAAAGUGCCAACUGGUGUCACCGAUCAUCAGAACUUUUCAACAUCUGAUUGUGUCUGAAAAUUAAUUCUCAUAAAACUAUCUGACUAUCUUUAACAGAUGAUACAUUCCUCUCUAAAUAGUUAGCACCUACAUUUGGCUCUGCAUACUGAAAUAGUAAGACUGUAUCAAAUGCUUUAGCUGCUGCAAUGAUGCCAUAACUAACUGCUACAUGUUCCCCCCUUUUUAGAGAAGGAUGUACAUUGGUAUAAACUCAGGCAUCCAUAUUCUUUUGUGGUGAGCAUUAGCCAGAAUGCCAUUUUUGUCCAGACUGUCACUGGGUGGUUUAUAAUUAGAAGGUUCACUCUAAAAUGAAAGUCUGAGGUUGAUGAGGCAGAACCAACUAUGUUUUAAAGGGAAAUUCUUAUUAGUACAAAAUAUUGGAGGAAAAACAAAAUCAAUGUUUACAGGCAGAUUAGCCAAAUUGUUCAUUAUUGUAGUAAACAUUGCAGAAAUAAAGGGGAUGGGCUAUAUUUGAAACAGUAUGGUCUAAUUUAUGUACAAUAAUUAUUCAUAGUAGCAUUCUCAUAGUUUGGGUAGUGACUCAUUUUGUUCUAUGUGACCUUUGUUCUCCAAGAUUGGCUGCUAUUAAAAAGUAAGAGCAAUAAAAAUAAAAUGGGACUUUACCAGGCUAACUU